UACAGAGGUCCCAAGCGUUAUUCGGAUUCACUGGGCGUAAAGGGUGCGUAGGUGGUGAGGUAAGUCGGAUGUGAAAGCUCGGAGCUCAACUCCGAAAUGGCAUUGGAAACUACCUUGCUCGAGGGUUGGAGGGGGGACUGGAAUACUUGGUGUAGCAGUAAAAUGCGUAGAUAUCAAGUGGAACACCAGUGGCGAAGGCGAGUCCCUGGACAACUCCUGACACUGAGGCACGAAAGCUAGGGGAGCAAACAGG
This 253-nucleotide ribosomal RNA is filed under the name uncultured bacterium. Its description in RNAcentral is "partial 16S ribosomal RNA". It matches the Rfam family "Bacterial small subunit ribosomal RNA", at positions 524 to 776 of the family's 1533-position model. The record is from RNAcentral.